GGGAGUUUCGUGUGUGUGUGUGUGUGUGUGUGUGUGUGUGUGUGUGUGGUUGCGUGCGUGUGCGUGUGCGUGCAUGCAUGCACACACACACACACA
Molecule: microRNA precursor, 96 nt
Filed under: Myotis lucifugus (little brown bat)
Lineage: Eukaryota; Metazoa; Chordata; Mammalia; Chiroptera; Vespertilionidae
Description: miRNA (ENSMLUG00000030383.1)
Source: RNAcentral